GAUAAACGCUGGCGGCGCACAUAAGACAUGCAAGUCGAACGAACUUAACUCAUUCUUUUAGAUUGAGAGCGGUUAGUGGCGGACUGGUGAGUAACACGUAAGCAACCUGCCUAUUAGAGGGGAAUAACAGUGAGAAAUCAUUGCUAAUACCGCAUAUGCUAACAGUAUCGCAUGAUACAGUUAGGAAAGGAGCAAUCCGCUAAUAGAUGGGCUUGCGUCUGAUUAGAUAGUUGGUGGGGUAACGGCCUACCAAGUCGACGAUCAGUAGCCGGACUGAGAGGUUGAACGGCCACAUUGGGACUGAGAUACGGCCCAGACUCCUACGGGAGGCAGCAGUCGGGAAUAUUGCGCAAUGGGGGAAACCCUGAUGCAGCAACGCCGCGUGAGGGAAGAAGGUUUUCGGAUUGUAAACCUCUGUUUUUAGUGAAGAACAAAUGACGGUAGCUAAAGAGGAAGCCACGGCUAACUACGUG
This 473-nucleotide ribosomal RNA is filed under the name uncultured bacterium. RNAcentral describes it as "bacterial SSU rRNA". It matches the Rfam family "Bacterial small subunit ribosomal RNA", at positions 28 to 507 of the family's 1533-position model. The record is from RNAcentral.